Molecule: long non-coding RNA, 709 nt
Organism: Uranotaenia lowii
Lineage: Eukaryota; Metazoa; Arthropoda; Insecta; Diptera; Culicidae
Exons: 3
Source: RefSeq, a predicted model, not a curated record
GCCAGUCUCGGACGGGAUUUCAAACGGAACGGAAAACUGGAAAAACGGAAACCGAUCAAAACCGCGGAAUCUUUUUUCGGACGGAAGAACCGGAAUUCGGAAAAGGCGGUGAGGAAACCGAAAAAAGUGGUUGGAAAUUUCUCCCUUGGAUGCCAGUGAAUAGAUGAAUGAAGCGAGAAGGCCUCGAAACCGGAAGUGAUAAUUAAACUGUGAAAAUCGAGAUUCCGUUGAGCCGGCAGAGAAAAGGUGUGCUCUCGCUCGAGGCUGUAUGAGUGUUGUAUAUGCUUGUGUAAGCUUAAUUGUGUUUGCAUUAGUGUUUAUCUGUGCUGUUGCUGACUGGCAACUUCUGCCAAACAGGAAGUGGAAGAAAGGCGAACCGUUUUUGGGAUUCCGGAAAAGCAGCUACACCCAGACACCGGAAACGGCCAUCGCUGGCACCGGUUGUUGGUGGUCAUUAACGACCUCCGGCCACCCCCUUCAACAACAACAACAAAUUUCAGCCCCAAAGCAAGGAGCACAAAAGGGCUGGCUCGGUGUAAUUCGAUCUACGGAAUCUCGUUAAGAUUAAAAUAAUCACCACCAGCGCACACCGCAAAUUCCCCCAUCGCAGGUUUCUCUUCAACGGACUCAAAAUGUACGGAUUCGUGAAUUAUGCACUGGAGCUGCUGGUACUGAAAAACUUCGGUCUGAACAUAUGGGAACAAAUAAA